This 390-nucleotide ribosomal RNA is filed under the name uncultured bacterium. RNAcentral describes it as "bacterial SSU rRNA". It matches the Rfam family "Bacterial small subunit ribosomal RNA", at positions 30 to 419 of the family's 1533-position model. The record is from RNAcentral.
AUUGAACGCUGGCGGCAUGCCUUACACAUGCAAGUCGAACGGCAGCACGGGAGCAAUCCUGGUGGCGAGUGGCGAACGGGUGAGUAAUGUAUCGGAACGUGCCUAGUCGUGGGGGAUAACGUAGCGAAAGCUACGCUAAUACCGCAUACGAUCUAUGGAUGAAAGCGGGGGACCUUCGGGCCUCGCGCGAUUAGAGCGGCCGAUAUCAGAUUAGGUAGUUGGUGGGGUAAAGGCUCACCAAGCCGACGACCUGUAGCUGGUCUGAGAGGACGACCAGCCACACUGGGACUGAGACACGGCCCAGACUCCUACGGGAGGCAGCAGUGGGGGAAUUUUGGACAAUGGGCGCAAGCCUGAUCCAGCCAUGCCGCGUGCAGGAUGAGGGCCUUC